RNAcentral lists this ribosomal RNA (460 nucleotides) under uncultured bacterium. RNAcentral's name for it is "partial 16S ribosomal RNA". It matches the Rfam family "Bacterial small subunit ribosomal RNA", at positions 338 to 795 of the family's 1533-position model. The record is from RNAcentral.
CCUACGGGAGGCAGCAGUGAGGAAUAUUGGUCAAUGGACGAGAGUCUGAACCAGCCAAGUAGCGUGAAGGAUGACUGCCCUAUGGGUUGUAAACUUCUUUUAUAUGGGAAUAAAAUGUUCCACGUGUGGGAUUUUGUAUGUACCAUAUGAAUAAGGAUCGGCUAACUCCGUGCCAGCAGCCGCGGUAAUACGGAGGAUCCGAGCGUUAUCCGGAUUUAUUGGGUUUAAAGGGAGCGUAGGUGGAUUGUUAAGUCAGUUGUGAAAGUUUGCGGCUCAACCGUAAAAUUGCAGUUGAUACUGGCAGUCUAGAGUACAGUAGAGGUGGGCGGAAUUCGUGGUGUAGCGGUGAAAUGCUUAGAUAUCACGAAGAACUCCGAUUGCGAAGGCAGCCUACUAAACUGCCACUGACGUUGAUGCUCGAAAGUGUGGGUAUCAAACAGGAUUAGAUACCCGGGUAGUC